Molecule: ribosomal RNA, 229 nt
Filed under: Campylobacter jejuni
Lineage: Bacteria; Pseudomonadati; Campylobacterota; Epsilonproteobacteria; Campylobacterales; Campylobacteraceae
Description: partial 23S ribosomal RNA
Rfam family: Bacterial large subunit ribosomal RNA
Source: RNAcentral
ACCUCGAUGUCGGCUCAUCGCAUCCUGUGGCUGGAGCAGGUCCCAAGGGUAUGGCUGUUCGCCAGUUAAAGCGGUACGCGAGCUGGGUUCAGACCGUCGUGAGACAGUUCGGUCCCUAUCUGCCGUGGGCGUAAGAAGAUUGAAGAGAUUUGACCCUAGAACGAGAGGACCGGGUUGAACAAACCACUGGUGUAGCUGUUGUUCUGCCAAGAGCAUCGCAGCGUAGCUA